RNAcentral lists this transfer RNA (73 nucleotides) under Bacteroidales bacterium. RNAcentral describes it as "tRNA-Pro". Lineage: Bacteria; Pseudomonadati; Bacteroidota; Bacteroidia; Bacteroidales. The record is from RNAcentral.
CGGGGCGUGGCGCAGUUGGUAGCGCACUUGCAUGGGGUGCAAGGGGUCGAAUGUUCGAGUCAUUUCGCCCCGA